GAAAAAAAAAACUUUUUAGCUUAGCUUAGCACAGUUAUUAAAAGUAGAUGCUAGCUAGCUUAGCGACAACUUCGUGAACUCAUUUAAAAGUGUUUCUACCUGCAUGCAGCACAACUAAAGAGCUCACUGUGUCUCUGUCUGUCUAUGUGUCUCUCUAUAGGAGGAUCAUCUGUCAGACAGACAGGUUCUUCUCUGUUAGUCCCCGUCAUCAAUCUCCAAUCAGUCAGUCUUAUUGAUGAGCCCACAGCGCCGCUGCCAGCUGGCAGCUGCAGGGGAGACGGACAGACAGGGAGGAAGAGAGACGGAUGGAGUGAUGAGGAGAGUGAUAAAUAAAGGAAAGUCUCUGCGGAGUGGCGAGCCCCACCCACCUGGUGAAACACAUUAAAAGUCCCAUCUGAUGCAGGUUUUAUGACUUUGAUCAGGGUGAAACUGUCCAGGUCAGAGGUCGCCGUGUGCAAACAGACUCAUAUUGACACAAGAGGACGAUCGAGGACAAGUGAGUGAUCGCCUUCCUCUCUCUCUCUCCUCGUCUUUCCUCCUCUCCACUCAGAUUAAACGGCGGCCAGUCAGGGUUGGUUAACGAACAACCACCGGUCUGACGCUAACGGAGCACGGCGAGGAGGAGGAGGACGAGGAGGGAGUGUUACAUCUCGUCUUACAGGAGGUAGAGGAGGAGAUACUUCCUCCUCAGCUCCUCUUACCUCAAACCUUAAACACCAAAGACAGAGAGAGAGGGAGACCAAGAGAGAGACAGAGAGAAAGAGAGUGGCUGCCAGCAGAAAUAGAUCACCACUAAGUUUCUGUCCAAAUGUUGCAGAAUUGUUGAGCAAAUUCCACAAAACUUGCCAAAAGAAAGUGUGAACGAGAAAGUAUGUCUCUAACUAGUUUCUGUCUAUUCCAAGCAAAAUCACUGAAGAUGUUCGGUUGAGUCGUGAAUUAUUUGAGUUUCAGAUUCAGCUGAAAAGUCAGUAAGACUGUAACUCUUGGCAUCUCGAUUAAAAAUGCAGUCAGUUAAUAAAAAAACGAGAUGACUGUCUGCCUUAUUGAAAUGCAACACGAAACAGAACUGACUGUUCAGCCCG
This is a long non-coding RNA of Acanthopagrus latus (yellowfin seabream), 1082 nucleotides long. RefSeq lists it as uncharacterized. Lineage: Eukaryota; Metazoa; Chordata; Actinopteri; Spariformes; Sparidae. The transcript has 3 exons. The record is from RefSeq and is a predicted model, not a curated record.